RNAcentral lists this ribosomal RNA (253 nucleotides) under uncultured bacterium. RNAcentral describes it as "partial 16S ribosomal RNA". It matches the Rfam family "Bacterial small subunit ribosomal RNA", at positions 524 to 776 of the family's 1533-position model. The record is from RNAcentral.
UACGUAGGGGGCAAGCGUUGUCCGGAAUCAUUGGGCGUAAAGAGCGUGUAGGCGGCCCGAUAAGUCCGCUGUGAAAGUCCAGGGCUCAACCCUGGAAUGCCGGUGGAUACUGUCGGGCUCGAAUCCGGAAGAGGUGAGUGGAAUUCCUGGUGUAGCGGUGAAAUGCGCAGAUAUCAGGAGGAACACCAAUGGCGAAGGCAGCUCACUGGGACGGUAUUGACGCUGAGGAGCGAAAGCGUGGGUAGCAAACAGG